RNAcentral lists this non-coding RNA (78 nucleotides) under Paramoeba aestuarina. Lineage: Eukaryota; Discosea; Flabellinia; Dactylopodida; Paramoebidae. The record is from RNAcentral.
AAGAAGAAAAAGGAGAAGAAGAAGGACAAAAAGAAGAAGAGGUCAAUGCCCGUUCUUUCUUUCUUCCUCUCUGUUGUU